GAUGAACGCUAGCGAUAGGCUUAACACAUGCAAGUCGAGGGGCAGCAUGGUCUUAGCUUGCUAAGACUGAUGGCGACCGGCGCACGGGUGCGUAACGCGUAUGCAACUUGCCUCACAGAGGGGGAUAACCCGCCGAAAGACGGACUAAUACCGCGUACACUUGGGAUAGGGCAUCCUGACCCAAGGAAAUGAAAUUCGCUGUGAGAUAGGCAUGCGUCCCAUUAGCUAGUUGGUGAGGUAACGGCUCACCAAGGCGACGAUGGGUAGGGGAACUGAGAGGGUGAACCCCCACCCGGGAACGGAGCAACGGGCCAAAACCCGACGGGGGGAAGGAGUGAGGAAUUUUGGUAAAUGGGGGAGGGCCUGAACCAGCCAAGUCGCGGGAAGGAGGACUGUCUUAUGGAUUUUAAACUUCUUUUAUAGGGGAAUAACAAGGGCCCCGGGGGGCUCCCUGGAUGGACCGUAUGAAAAAGCAGCGGCUAACUCCGU
Molecule: ribosomal RNA, 489 nt
Filed under: uncultured bacterium
Lineage: Bacteria
Description: partial 16S ribosomal RNA
Rfam family: Bacterial small subunit ribosomal RNA
Source: RNAcentral